This 350-nucleotide ribosomal RNA is filed under the name uncultured bacterium. RNAcentral describes it as "bacterial SSU rRNA". It matches the Rfam family "Bacterial small subunit ribosomal RNA", at positions 917 to 1267 of the family's 1533-position model. The record is from RNAcentral.
GGACCCGCACAAGCGGUGGAGCAUGUGGUUUAAUUCGAUGCAACGCGAAAAAACCUUACCUACUCUUGACAUACUUGGAAGCUCUUGUAAUGAGAGUGUGCCUUUUGGAACCAAGAUACAGGUGCUGCAUGGCUGUCGUCAGCUCGUGUCGUGAGAUGUUCCGUUAAGUCGGAUAACGAGCGCAACCCUUACCCUUAUUUGCCAGCGAUUCGGUCGGGAACUAUAAGGGGACUGCCGGUGAUAAACCGGAGGAAGGUGAGGACGACGUCAAGUCAUCAUGGCCCUUACGAGUAGGGCUACACACGUGCUACAAUGGUAACUACAACGGGACGCAAUACCGCGAGGUGGAG